CUCCCUGCUGUUUUUGGACUACAACUCCCAUCAUCCCUAGCUAGUGGAACCAGUGGCCAGGGAUGAUGGGAACUGUAGUCCAAAAACAGCUGGAGA
RNAcentral lists this microRNA precursor (96 nucleotides) under Podarcis lilfordi (Lilford's wall lizard). The record is from RNAcentral. Lineage: Eukaryota; Metazoa; Chordata; Lepidosauria; Squamata; Lacertidae.